AACAGGAUUAGAUACCCUGGUAGUCCACGCCGUAAACGAUGUCGACUUGGAGGUUGUUCCCUUGAGGAGUGGCUUCCGGAGCUAACGCGUUAAGUCGACCGCCUGGGGAGUACGGCCGCAAGGUUAAAACACAAAUGAAUUGACGGGGGCCCGCACAAGCGGUGGAGCAUGUGGUUUAAUUCGAUGCAACGCGAAGAACCUUACCUACUCUUGACAUCCAGCGAACUUUCCAGAGAUGGAUUGGUGCCUUCGGGAACGCUGAGACAGGUGCUGCAUGGCUGUCGUCAGCUCGUGUUGUGAAAUGUUGGGUUAAGUCCCGCAACGAGCGCAACCCUUAUCCUUUGUUGCCAGCGACUCGGUCGGGAACUCAAAGGAGACUGCCGGUGAUAAACCGGAGGAAGGUGGGGAUGACGUCAAGUCAUCAUGGCCCUUACGAGUAGGGCUACACACGUGCUACAAUGGCGCAUACAAAGAGAAGCGACCUCGCGAGAGCAAGCGGACCUCACAAAGUGCGUCGUAGUCCGGAUCGGAGUCUGCAACUCGACUCCGUGAAGUCGGAAUCGCUAGUAAUCGUGGAUCAGAAUGCCACGGUGAAUACGUUCCCGGGCCUUGUACACACCGCCCGUCACACCAUGGGAGUGGGUUGCAAAAGAAGUAGGUAGCUUAACCUUCGGGAGGGCGCUUACCACUUUGUGAUUCAUGACUGGGGUGAAGUCGUAACAAGGUAACC
RNAcentral lists this ribosomal RNA (730 nucleotides) under uncultured bacterium. RNAcentral describes it as "bacterial SSU rRNA". It matches the Rfam family "Bacterial small subunit ribosomal RNA", at positions 771 to 1501 of the family's 1533-position model. The record is from RNAcentral.